GGAGAGGCUGUGGCUCAGUGGUAGAUCGUCUCCUCGGCAUGCAGAGGGUCUCUGGUUCAAUCCCCAACAUCUCCA
Molecule: transfer RNA, 75 nt
Filed under: Sphaerodactylus townsendi
Lineage: Eukaryota; Metazoa; Chordata; Lepidosauria; Squamata; Sphaerodactylidae
Description: tRNA-Ala
Source: RNAcentral